UAAUAGAAGUAACUGGGAACAUCUCCCAGUUUGGCACGCAGGUGACCAGAGUCUACAUUCAGAAAUAAUCCCGUUCAUUUUAAAAUCUCAGCAGUGCUUGAGUGUAGCUGCUUGUCGGCCCUCACCAACAUGGAAACCUACCAACAGUUUAGACGACAAACAGUGAGCUAAAGAAUGAGUCCAUGGUUCUCUAGUUUCUUCCAGUAAUAUUCAAUCAAUCACCUCCAAACAAAGGUUGGCCUCAGCUGCUCUUCCAGGUGUGUCUCAUGCAGGAAGAAAGGCCCAGGUGAGCUUCCCGCCCUUUUUAUAGACUCCACCCCAUUUGCCUGCUCUUAGUGCCGGACUUCCUGUUACCUGUUUUCUUCCACGUAUUCAUAAAACAAAUCCACUGACGACACGUCUGAAGAACAAUGUGAGGGAAAUGACGGCGAACAGACCUGUGAUGGGUCCGACUGUGUAUCGCUCUAUGAGUUUGGAUUAAUCUGAUUGGACACUGGCCCUGUCAGACGAGGAUCAACAGUCAAAGUGACCAAUGAGGAAUCUCAGCUGGCAGGAAGUGAGUUUGAAAAAAUCCUCGUUGAUUAUUGGCAGAUAGUUUUCCAGAGAUGAAAAUAAAACGAAGAUUCAGUGUCAUGUUUUACAGCUCAGACAAGAAAUGUUUGAAAUAUAUAUUUAUGUAUGAAUAUAUUAUAGGCACGUUCAUACAUGUAGCGUGUAUCACGCAGACAUCCAUGAUUAGUUUGAUGUUAUGGUUCUGGUUCUGGUCCCGGACUUAAGGAAGGACCCGACACGCCACCAUCAUCAGCUUCUUCCUCAUGUUAAAUCAGAAUCAGAAUUUACUUUAUUGCCAUGUUGAUCUGUCCACUCCUCCACCAGGUGAUGUUGAUCUGUACACUCCUCCACCAGGUGAUGUUGAUCUGUCCACUCCUCCACCAGGUGAUGUUGAUCUGUCCACAUCACCAGGUGAUGUUGAUCUGUCUACUCCUCCACCAGGUGAUGUUGAUCUGUCCACAUCACCAGGUGAUGAGUUCAGGACAACACUUUGUGUUCAUCUCCAGGACGACUGAGUUUCCAGAGUUCUCUGCGGUCCUGAUGCUGCACGACAUCCAGCUCCUGGUGGCGUGUCGGGUCCGUCCUCAAGUCUGGGACCAGAACCAGAACCAUAACAUCAAACUAAUCAUGGAUGUCUGCGUGAUACACGCUACAUGUAUGAACGUGCCUAUAAUAUAUUCAUACAUAAAUAUAUAUUUCAAACAUUUCUUGUCUGAGCUGUAAAACAUGACACUGAAUCUUCGUUUUAUUUUCAUCUCUGGAAAACUAUCUGCCAAUAAUCAACGAGGAUUUUUUCAAACUCACUUCCUGCCAGCUGAGAUUCCUCAUUGGUCACUUUGACUGUUGAUCCUCGUCUGACAGGGCCAGUGUCCAAUCAGAUUAAUCCAAACUCAUAGAGCGAUACACAGUCGGACCCAUCACAGGUCUGUUCGCCGUCAUUUCCCUCACAUUGUUCUUCAGACGUGUCGUCAGUGGAUUUGUUUUAUGAAUACGUGGAAGAAAACAGGUAACAGGAAGUCCGGCACUAAGAGCAGGCAAAUGGGGUGGAGUCUAUAAAAAGGGCGGGAAGCUCACCUGGGCCUUUCUUCCUGCAUGAGACACACCUGGAAGAGCAGCUGAGGCCAACCUUUGUUUGGAGGUGAUUGAUUGAAUAUUACUGGAAGAAACUAGAGAACCAUGGACUCAUUCUUUAGCUCACUGUUUGUCGUCUAAACUGUUGGUAGGUUUCCAUGUUGGUGAGGGCCGACAAGCAGCUACACUCAAGCACUGCUGAGAUUUUAAAAUGAACGGGAUUAUUUCUGAAUGUAGACUCUGGUCACCUGCGUGCCAAACUGGGAGAUGUUCCCAGUUACUUCUAUUA
Molecule: long non-coding RNA, 1912 nt
Organism: Larimichthys crocea (large yellow croaker)
Lineage: Eukaryota; Metazoa; Chordata; Actinopteri; Sciaenidae
Exons: 3
Source: RefSeq, a predicted model, not a curated record